This 274-nucleotide ribosomal RNA is filed under the name uncultured bacterium. RNAcentral describes it as "partial 16S ribosomal RNA". It matches the Rfam family "Bacterial small subunit ribosomal RNA", at positions 523 to 796 of the family's 1533-position model. The record is from RNAcentral.
AUACGGAGGGUGCAAGCGUUAUUCGGAAUCACUGGGCGUAAAGGGUGCGUAGGCGGUUUGGUAAGUCUGAUGUGAAAUCCUAUGGCUCAACCAUAGAACUGCAUUGGAAACUGUCAGACUAGAAUACUGAAGGGGCAGAUGGAAUUAGUGGUGUAGGGGUAAAAUCCGUAGAUAUCACUAGGAAUACCGAAAGCGAAAGCGAUCUGCUGGGAAGUUAUUGACGCUGAGGCACGAAAGCGUGGGGAGCAAACGGGAUUAGAAACCCCAGUAGUCC